GCUGCCGAGCGAGAAGGGCCGCCCCCCACCCGCCCAGGAGAAGGUCCCCGCCUGCAUGGGCUCUGACCUCUUGGCCAGUUAACAGGAACCAACCUCUGCUCCCUGCACCUUAAAAUGGGUAAAUUGCGAUCCACACACGGAGAAGGACGGGGCAGAGUCCUCAGACCUCUUACCCCAGAUGUAUUCAUUAUGGAUCCUCGAAUACCAUGGCUCAAAAGGCGGGGGAUGGACUUUGCCUGCCAGGGGACAUCUGAUCUUUUGCAUCUCCAAUUGUUGAAUACCUGGAGUCUGAAAAUGCCAUUUACGAUGUCAUUUAUGUUUAGCAUUAUAAAUGGGGUCAAGAAUGUUUAUAUUUUGAAUGUGUCUCUAUUUAAUCCUGAUUGUCAAUGGAAGCCCCAGCAUACAAAAGCCACACAUUAUGUUUCAGGGGAGAGAUUAUGCCAGUUGGUUGGGUGCCUUGUGUUCUAUUAAAGCUGAAGCCAGGCUCCCUGUCAGACUGUUACAGAUCAACACGUUGGAAUCUUCCAGCAGCGAGCACAGGUGUCUUGCACCAAUGGCUCCUUGUGCGCAGAGGGGAGAGCAGAUCCGGACCACUGGAGCAUGGCUCUCGGCCACCCUAGAACAUUCUCCCUAUUAUCCAGUCAGGCCUGGGAGAACCAGCCUGCCCGACAGCUAACAGCUGUCAGGGGACACCUGUAAUUGAGUCAAGUCAACAAGCAGGGACUGCGUAAGGCAAGAACGAGAAGUUUCCAAAACCCUCUUCCUUGUAUACCUCACACUGUGCCCACAACUCACGCUGUGAAACCAGAUCUCUUCUUCCCUGUGUGUCAACUUUGCCCUUAAGAUAAGGACAAAGGCUCCUUAGGGCCUGCGAGGACCUGCCUAAACUCUUUUUCUCUCUACUCCUGCCACACCAACCUUCAUUCCAAUCCUCACCUAAGCUAUACGGUCCCACCUCAGGGCCUUUGCACAUGCUGUUCUCAUUUCCUCAAGCUUCCCUGCACUAUCACCAUGUCACCUACUUAACUCACCUGCUCCUUUAACAGGUUAUUAGCCCAGCCAUCACUUCCUUGAGAACAGGUCCCAGACCUCCCUCAGUCAAAUCUCUCUAAUACACAUUUCCUUCAGAGCUCCCCUCAUACUGAUGCAGUUUUACAACUAUGUAACUAUUCGAAUAAAAUCUGGCUAGGAUGCA
Molecule: long non-coding RNA, 1195 nt
Filed under: Sus scrofa (pig)
Lineage: Eukaryota; Metazoa; Chordata; Mammalia; Artiodactyla; Suidae
Description: lncRNA (ENSSSCG00025007071.1, ENSSSCG00035009983.1, ENSSSCG00065031453.1)
Source: RNAcentral